Long non-coding RNA from Callithrix jacchus (white-tufted-ear marmoset), 1028 nucleotides. Lineage: Eukaryota; Metazoa; Chordata; Mammalia; Primates; Cebidae. The record is from Ensembl.
AUUUACUAUGUGCUGGGGACUUUUCCACCCGCUAGAAAGACGACAGCGACCAAAACAAAAAUCCUCAUUUUCAUGGAUCUUGCAUUCUAUGUGAGAAAGAUGAAAAGAUAAAUAAGUAAAUUUUAUACAAUGCUUGGUAACAAGUGCUAAGGAAAAAAAACGGCACAGUUAAAAAAGACAGAACGGAAAAGGAUGGGGCACUUGUGGUGCAAUUUUGUUAGGAUGCCCGAGAGGGCUGAGUGUAGUCGUAAACGAUCACAUCAUUUGAUGGAUGAAGUUAGGGACUGCGAAUCUGUGUUUCUGAGAGACACAUAAAGAAAAGAAGCCUUAAGGAAUCAAGGAAGAUCCAGAGUGGGGAAAUGAAGUGAAAAGAAAUCCAGCCGGUGGGGAGUCAUGAAGGGAUAAGUUAAGCGCGUUUUGGCAGGAAGGAAGAAAGCAAAAGUGCGGUACAGCCUUUCAUUACACGUGAAAAGAAUCACGUUUCUUUUUCUAUUUAGAAAAAGCCAAAGACUGUGCAAUUUAUGCCCAACUCCCCCCCACCUCGCGCCCAACUUCUCUCCUGUGGUCAGUGUUUCCCACACCUGAAUCAGGGUUACAGCCACUCUGGCUUUCAAUUGGCCCUGUGCAGGCGCAUGCUCUGCGCGUAUUGGCCUUCGCUCCUGUCCCCAGACGAGCGGCCAUCUUGGGUCCCGCCCCUACCGCUUUCUUUUGGGAAUUGCAGUCCCCGCUCCGCUCUGUCCGGUCACGGGACUUUUAGCCUUCUGUUCCGGGGUCCCUCAGGCGGCCACCCAGUGGGCACAAGCCCAGGCGGCGCUUUGACCCCGCGCUUCUUCCCUCUGCCUUUCAUUCACAGCUGCCAACAUCCUGGAAGAUGCCGUCAUAUGCCACGGAGUUGUGUAGAGCACAGGCUCUGGAGGAAGGGCAGACUUGGAUUUGCACCUAAACUCUGCCAUUUACAUGCCUAUGACCUUGGGCUUUACCUCUUAAGGAGGUCAGUGAACUAUAAGUGCCCUUUCCUCAGUGUGUAA